RNAcentral lists this ribosomal RNA (653 nucleotides) under Mesobacillus jeotgali. RNAcentral's name for it is "bacterial SSU rRNA". It matches the Rfam family "Bacterial small subunit ribosomal RNA", at positions 801 to 1463 of the family's 1533-position model. Lineage: Bacteria; Bacillati; Bacillota; Bacilli; Caryophanales; Bacillaceae. The record is from RNAcentral.
CGUAAAAGACGAGUGAUAAGUAUAGAGGAUUCCGCUCUUUUGUUUGCAGCAAACUUUUAAGCUUCCGCGUGGGGAGUACGGUCGAAAGGGUGAAAUUCAAUGGAAUUGACGGGGGCCCGCACAAGCGGUGGAGCACCGGUUUAUUUGGAAGCAACGGGAAGAACCUUACCAGGUCUUGACAUCCUCUGACAACCCUAGAGAUAGGGCGUUCCCCUUCGGGGGACAGAGUGACAGGUGGUGCAUGGUUGUUGUCAGCUCGUGUCGUGAGAUGUUGGGUUAAGUCCCGCAACGAGCGCAACCCUUGAUUUUAGUUGCCAGCAUUCAGUUGGGCACUCUAAGGUGACUGCCGGUGACAAACCGGAGGAAGGUGGGGAUGACGUCAAAUCAUCAUGCCCCUUAUGACCUGGGCUACACACGUGCUACAAUGGAUGGAACAAAGGGUCGCGAAGCCGCGAGGUCGAGCCAAUCCCAUAAAUCCAUUCUCAGUUCGGAUUGCAGGCUGCAACUCGCCUGCAUGAAGCCGGAAUCGCUAGUAAUCGCGGAUCAGCAUGCCGCGGUGAAUACGUUCCCGGGCCUUGUACACACCGCCCGUCACACCACGAGAGUUUGUAACACCCGAAGUCGGUGGGGUAACCUUUGGAGCCAGCCCGGGU